GUUCGUGUGGCGAAACGGUAAACGCAGGAGAUUUAGAAUCUUCUCCGGCAACGGAUGCGGGUUCGAUUCCCGCCGCGAACA
Molecule: transfer RNA, 81 nt
Filed under: Kiritimatiellia bacterium
Lineage: Bacteria; Pseudomonadati; Kiritimatiellota; Kiritimatiellia
Description: Kiritimatiellae bacterium (gut metagenome) tRNA-Leu
Rfam family: tRNA
About the family: Transfer RNA (tRNA) molecules are approximately 80 nucleotides in length. Their secondary structure includes four short double-helical elements and three loops (D, anti-codon, and T loops). Further hydrogen bonds mediate the characteristic L-shaped molecular structure. tRNAs have two regions of fundamental functional importance: the anti-codon, which is responsible for specific mRNA codon recognition, and the 3' end, to which the tRNAs corresponding amino acid is attached (by aminoacyl-tRNA synthetases). tRNAs cope with the degeneracy of the genetic code in two manners: having more than one tRNA (with a specific anti-codon) for a particular amino acid; and 'wobble' base-pairing, i.e. permitting non-standard base-pairing at the 3rd anti-codon position.
Source: RNAcentral